CUUUCGGUAGCUCAGUUGGUAGAGCGGUGGACUGUAGAUCCAUAGGUCGCUGGUUCAAAUCCGGCCCGAAGGA
Molecule: transfer RNA, 73 nt
Filed under: Acyrthosiphon pisum (pea aphid)
Lineage: Eukaryota; Metazoa; Arthropoda; Insecta; Hemiptera; Aphididae
Description: tRNA-Tyr
Rfam family: tRNA
About the family: Transfer RNA (tRNA) molecules are approximately 80 nucleotides in length. Their secondary structure includes four short double-helical elements and three loops (D, anti-codon, and T loops). Further hydrogen bonds mediate the characteristic L-shaped molecular structure. tRNAs have two regions of fundamental functional importance: the anti-codon, which is responsible for specific mRNA codon recognition, and the 3' end, to which the tRNAs corresponding amino acid is attached (by aminoacyl-tRNA synthetases). tRNAs cope with the degeneracy of the genetic code in two manners: having more than one tRNA (with a specific anti-codon) for a particular amino acid; and 'wobble' base-pairing, i.e. permitting non-standard base-pairing at the 3rd anti-codon position.
Source: RNAcentral